RNAcentral lists this ribosomal RNA (492 nucleotides) under uncultured bacterium. Its description in RNAcentral is "partial 16S ribosomal RNA". It matches the Rfam family "Bacterial small subunit ribosomal RNA", at positions 29 to 507 of the family's 1533-position model. The record is from RNAcentral.
AGUGAACGCUGGCGGCAUGCCUAACACAUGCAAGUCGAACGGCAGCACAGUAAGAUUUCGCCUUUACGGGUGGCGAGUGGCGGACGGGUGAGGAAUACAUCGCAUUCUUCUUUUACGUGGGGGAUAACGUAGGGCCACUUACGCUACUACCGCAUACGAUCUACGGGUGAAAGCAGUGGAUCUUCGCACCUUGCCCGACUCAUAGAGCCGGUGUCGGAUUAGCUAGUUGGCUGGGUAAGGGCACACCAAGGCGACGAUGCGUAGCUGAUCUGAGAGGAUGAUCGGCCACACUGGAACUGAGACACGGUCCAGACUCCUACGGGAGGCAGCAGUAGGGAAUAUUCCGCAAUGGGCGCAAGCCUGACGGAGCAAUGCCGCGUGAGUGAUGAAGGCCUUCGGGUUGUAAAGCCCUGUUAUUAGGAAAGAAAAGCAGCAUAAUUAUACCUCGCUGUUCUGACGGUACCUAAUGAGUAAGCCCCGGCUAACUUCGUG